UUGUUCUUAUGAAGUUAGCGGCGGACGGGUGAGUAACACGUGGGUAACCUGCCCAUAAGACUGGGAUAACUCCGGGAAACCGGGGCUAAUACCGGAUAACAUUUUGAACCGCAGGGUUCGAAAUUGAAAGGCGGCUUCGGCUGUCACUUAUGGAUGGACCCGCGUCGCAAUAGCUAGUUGGUGAGGUAACGGCUCACCAAGGCGACGAUGCGUAACCAACCUGAGAGGGUGAUCGGACACACUGGGACUGAUACACGGCCCAGACUCCUACGGGAGGCAGGAAUAGGGAAUCUUCCGCAGUGGACGAAAGUCUGACGGAGCAACGCCGCGUGAGUGAUGAAGGCUUUCGGGUCGUAAAACUCUGUUGUUAGGGAAGAACAAGUGCUAGUUGAAUAAGCUGGCACCUUGACGGUACCUAACCAGAAAGCCACGGCUAACUACGUGCCAGCAGCCGCGGUAAUACGUAGGUGGCAAGCGUUAUCCGGAAUUAUUGGGCGUAAAGCGCGCGCAGGUGGUUUCUUAAGUCUGAUGUGAAAGCCCACGGCUCAACCGUGGAGGGUCAUUGGAAACUGGGAGACUUGAGUGCAGAAGAGGAAAGUGGAAUUCCAUGUGUAGCGGUGAAAUGCGUAGAGAUAUGGAGGAACACCCAGUGGCGAAGGCGACUUU
This 666-nucleotide ribosomal RNA is filed under the name Bacillus sp. NS-2(2012). RNAcentral describes it as "bacterial SSU rRNA". It matches the Rfam family "Bacterial small subunit ribosomal RNA", at positions 75 to 728 of the family's 1533-position model. Lineage: Bacteria; Bacillati; Bacillota; Bacilli; Caryophanales; Bacillaceae. The record is from RNAcentral.